ACGGGGGGUGCAAGCGUUGUUCGGAAUUAUUGGGCGUAAAGAGCGUGUAGGCGGCUGGAUGUGUCAGAUGUGAAAGCCCUGGGCUUAACCCAGGAAGUGCAUUUGAAACUGUCCGGCUUGAGUAGGGGAGAGGGAAGUGGAAUUCCUGGUGUAGAGGUGAAAUUCGUAGAUAUCAGGAGGAACACCUGUGGCGAAGGCGACUUCCUGGCCCUAUACUGGCGCUGUGCCGCGAGAGCGUGGGUAGCAAACAG
RNAcentral lists this ribosomal RNA (251 nucleotides) under uncultured prokaryote. Its description in RNAcentral is "partial 16S rRNA". It matches the Rfam family "Bacterial small subunit ribosomal RNA", at positions 525 to 775 of the family's 1533-position model. The record is from RNAcentral.